RNAcentral lists this ribosomal RNA (515 nucleotides) under Janibacter sp. NBtS-15. RNAcentral's name for it is "bacterial SSU rRNA". It matches the Rfam family "Bacterial small subunit ribosomal RNA", at positions 990 to 1507 of the family's 1533-position model. Lineage: Bacteria; Bacillati; Actinomycetota; Actinomycetes; Micrococcales; Intrasporangiaceae. The record is from RNAcentral.
CCGGAAACAUCCAGAGAGGGGUCCCCCUUUUGGUCGGUAUACAGGUGGUGCAUGGUUGUCGUCAGCUCGUGUCGUGAGAUGUUGGGUUAAGUCCCGCAACGAGCGCAACCCUCGUUCUAUGUUGCCAGCACGUGAUGGUGGGGACUCAUAGGAGACUGCCGGGGUCAACUCGGAGGAAGGUGGGGAUGACGUCAAAUCAUCAUGCCCCUUAUGUCUUGGGCUUCACGCAUGCUACAAUGGCCGGUACAAAGGGCUGCGAUACCGCAAGGUGGAGCGAAUCCCAAAAAACCGGUCUCAGUUCGGAUUGGGGUCUGCAACUCGACCCCAUGAAGUCGGAGUCGCUAGUAAUCGCAGAUCAGCAACGCUGCGGUGAAUACGUUCCCGGGCCUUGUACACACCGCCCGUCAAGUCACGAAAGUCGGUAACACCCGAAGCCGGUGGCCCAACCCUUGUGGGGGGAGCCGUCGAAGGUGGGACUGGUGAUGGGACUAAGUCGAAACAAGGAUGCCGACGGG